UUCUUUUUUUUUUUGACAUCACAUUAUCUCAUCUUCCUUUUCAGCUAAAUCAGAUCUCUAUUCUACCUACCCUCUUUUGUAAAGACAGUCAGUUGGCGUGAUUGUCAAAUUUGGUGUAGAGUUUCCUUCUUACAAGAGAUAGUCUUAAUGUAUGACAUUUAUUCUUUCAACACACAUGUUUAUAACUUCUGUGUGCUAAGCUUUGUGUGAAGAGGUAAUCAAAUAAUGAUAAAUAUGUUAUGGAUUUUUGCCCUCAGAUAGCUUAUAAUCAAGGAAGAGACAUGGCAUAAUAAUAAUUAUCUCUGCUAUAAUGCAUGUUGUUGUUGUUUAGUCACUAAGUUGUGUCUGACUCUUUUGUGACCCCAGGGGCUAUAGUCCACCAGGCUCCUCUAUCCAUGGAAUUUUCCAGGCAAGAGUCCUGGAGUGGGGAUUGAACCUGGGUCUCCUGUGUCACAGGGAGAUUUUUUUUUUUACCACUGAGCCACCUGGGAAAGCUGUAUAUAAUACGUAAAAUGACAUAUUAAUAACACAAAUAAAAUGCUAUAGGGACUCAGAGGAACUUUGUCCUUUCUUGCUUGGUAGCCAUCUUUCUGCUGGGUGACUGGUUCUGAGCAAGGCUACCGGUGGGAGACAACAUCUGAAGCAUAUCCAGACUAUGCUAUGUUACUACAGGAACUAUAGCCUCACCUUUGAAAGACUGAGGGUUAGUCCAAUCAUGGUGACCCAUCCUGCCUUUGCUUAGGGAGUGACUUUUGAAGUUCAGUGAUGAUGCCGGAUUUGGAGGAAUUCUAGUGGCAUAUGUUUGGGGAGCAGCAUGGUUGAGAAUCAUAUUGGAUCUACAGACGGUAAGACAUCACAAAUAUGGAUGUAAAAGUAUGACAAGACAGUCAAAUCCUAUGACAGAUCAUUCCUUUUAAGGAGAAAUAUCAAUCCAAUACUUAGCCACUGUCAAAGGGUAGUCAUAAACACCACCACCAACAAACCAUAUGCUUUCAAAAGAAGCCUAG
This 1007-nucleotide long non-coding RNA is filed under the name Bos indicus x Bos taurus (hybrid cattle). Its description in RNAcentral is "lncRNA (ENSBIXG00000005028.1)". The record is from RNAcentral. Lineage: Eukaryota; Metazoa; Chordata; Mammalia; Artiodactyla; Bovidae.